RNAcentral lists this non-coding RNA (45 nucleotides) under Schistosoma mansoni. Lineage: Eukaryota; Metazoa; Platyhelminthes; Trematoda; Strigeidida; Schistosomatidae. The record is from RNAcentral.
AUCCAAGUGACAAGUCUCAAAUAGGACGAAACGCGCGUCCUGGAU